Long non-coding RNA from Alligator mississippiensis (American alligator), 747 nucleotides. RefSeq lists it as uncharacterized. The record is from RefSeq and is a predicted model, not a curated record. Lineage: Eukaryota; Metazoa; Chordata; Crocodylia; Alligatoridae. The transcript is spliced from 3 exons.
GUGCACGCAGGGAGACCUGGAGAAGGUGACGCGCAUCACAAUGGCCCCUUCUAGAACCGGCUCGUCGCCGUGCGGCUCCUGGAGACGCGCACAGCAGUUGGACUGCUCCCGAGCCAACACUGCUUGGAGUCAGGUCACACCUGUGUCCUUGGUGUCACCCUGACCGCAAGGCUACAGAAGACUGGACAGUCUUUUAUCCCAGGAGAAAAAUAUGGGAUCCUUUGGAAAGAGAGGAAGGGCAUCUCAGGAGGAGGGACAAGGAUGGAGAUGCAUCCCUCUGCCAUCCUGCCUCAAGCACUGCCGCACGCGGGAGCCGAGGCCCGAAGCAGGCAGCCAGACAGGGCAGCAGAUGUUUGCCACAGCAGAGUCAAGGGCCUGGGACGCUGUGUGGCGGCAGCAGCUGCGGCUGCAGCGGGCAGGCCAGGAGCGGGUAAGACCAUCCACCACUCGGUCUCCCCCACGCACAACCCACCCUCCCUUCUAUGCCCCGGGGGCAAAAAUGAGUAGUUGUACCCCUGUCUGCCCACUCCGGGACCGCCUCCACUUAAAAAUCCUAGAUGUUAUCCUCCCUUUUGAAGAACCCUUUCCAAACUAACCAUGUCCAUUUGUAGCCUAACUGGUAAGAAAAGCAAUUACUCUUUCAACAUCGCAACCAAAUGGCAAAUUGAGCUAGUACCGGCGGGGCUGUCUUUACCCAUCCAGAUCGGAAGUUGUUCCAGACUUUGAGAAGCUGUCAGAAUUUGGCCG